Molecule: ribosomal RNA, 618 nt
Filed under: Gephyromantis pedronoi
Lineage: Eukaryota; Metazoa; Chordata; Amphibia; Anura; Mantellidae
Description: partial 16S ribosomal RNA
Rfam family: Bacterial large subunit ribosomal RNA (bases 1-424)
Source: RNAcentral
CAAGCAAAAUGAAUUUUAGUCUGACCCCCCGAAACUAAGUGAGCUACUUCGAAACAGUUUUAAGAACGCACCCAUCUCUGUUGCAAUAGAGUGGGAUGAUUUCCAAGUAGCAGUGAUAAGCUUACCGCACCUAGUGAUAGCUGGUUGCUCAAGAAAAGAAUAUAAGUUCUACCUUAAGGUUUUUAAUUACAAAAAAAUAUACAAAACUUAAGAGCUACUCAAAUAAGGCACAGCUUAUUUGAACCAGGAUACAACCUAUAAUAUUGGGUAAAAAAUCAAAAAUAGGGAACAAGUGGGCCUAAGAGCAGCCACCUUCUAAAAAGCGUUAAAGCUUUACCACUAUACUAUUUUAAUACCUCUACACACCUUCAACCCAUUACCAAUAUUGAGCAAUUCCAUACGCCUAUGGAAGAUAUAAUGCUAGAACGAGUAACAAGAAACAGACUUUCUCCAAAAUGUAAGCCUAAGCCAUAAUAGACUAUCUACCGGCAAUUAAACGCAAAUGAAACUACUAUAGCAACUUCAACAAGAAAACCCUAUAACCCCUCAACGUCAAUCUUACACUAGAACAUUUAUGGAAAGAUAAAAGAAAGAGAAGAACUCGGCAAACUUUAACCC